This 468-nucleotide ribosomal RNA is filed under the name uncultured bacterium. Its description in RNAcentral is "partial 16S ribosomal RNA". It matches the Rfam family "Bacterial small subunit ribosomal RNA", at positions 28 to 507 of the family's 1533-position model. The record is from RNAcentral.
GACGAACGCUGGCGGCGUGCUUAACACAUGCAAGUCGAACGGAAAGGCCCUGCUUUUGUGGGGUGCUCGAGUGGCGAACGGGUGAGUAACACGUGAGUCACCUGCCCUUGACUUUGUGAUAACUUCAGGCAACUGCGGCUAAUACCGGAUAGGAGCUCCUGCUGCAUGGUGGGGGUCGGACCGUUUCGGCGGUUGGGGAUGGACUCGCGGCUUAUCAGCUUGUUGGUGGGGUAGUGGCUUACCAAGGCUUUGACGGGUAGCCGGCCUGAGAGGGUGACCGGCCACAUGGGUACUGAGAUACGGCCCAGACUCCUACGUGAGGCAGCAGUGGGGAAUAUUGCACAAUGGGCGGAAGCCUGAUGCAGCAGCGCCGCGUGCGGGAUGACGGCCUUCGGGUUGUAAACCGCUUUCGCCUGUGACGAAGCGUGAGUGACGGUAAUGGGUAAAGAAGCACCGGCUAACUACGUG